This 73-nucleotide transfer RNA is filed under the name Sclerotinia sclerotiorum 1980 UF-70. RNAcentral describes it as "tRNA-Arg (TCG) (tRNA-Arg-TCG-3-1)". It matches the Rfam family "tRNA". From Rfam's summary of the family: Transfer RNA (tRNA) molecules are approximately 80 nucleotides in length. Their secondary structure includes four short double-helical elements and three loops (D, anti-codon, and T loops). The record is from RNAcentral. Lineage: Eukaryota; Fungi; Ascomycota; Leotiomycetes; Helotiales; Sclerotiniaceae.
GGCCCGGUGGCCUAAUGGUUAAGGCGCCAGAUUUCGGCUCUGGAGAUUGGGAGUUCGAAUCUUCCCCGGGUCG